Molecule: small RNA, 475 nt
Filed under: Pongo abelii (Sumatran orangutan)
Lineage: Eukaryota; Metazoa; Chordata; Mammalia; Primates; Hominidae
Description: processed transcript
Source: RNAcentral
UGAAAAGCUUGUCAGACUUUUCGAAGAAAGUGGUCUUUGAGCCGAGACGGGUGAUUCUGGACAAGGAUUACGAAUGUGGAUCAAGCAGGUUUUAAAUCAAGAUUUAACAUUCCAACACAUAAAAAUUAUUUAUCCAACAGCUCCUCCCAGAUCAUAUACUCCUAUGAAAGGUGGAAUCUCCAAUGUAUGGUUUGACAGAUUUAAAAUAACCAAUGACUGCCCAGAACACCUUGAAUCAAUUGAUGUCAUGUGUCAAGUGCUUACUGAUUUGAUUGAUGAAGAAGUAAAAAGUGGCAUCAAGAAGAACAGGAUAUUAAUAGGAGGAUUCUCUAUGGGAGGAAGCAUGGCAAUGCAUUUAGCAUAUAGAAAUCAUCAAGAUGUGGCAGGAGUAUUUGCUCUUUCUAGUUUUCUGAAUAAAGCAUCGGCUGUUUACCAGGCUCUUCAGAAGAGUAAUGGUGUACUUCCUGAAUUAUUU